ACGAACGCUGGCGGCAGGCCUAACACAUGCAAGUCGAGCGAGGACUUCGGUUCUAGCGGCGGACGGGUGAGUAACGCGUGGGAAUGUGCCCUUCUCUACGGAAUAGCCCUGGGAAACUGGGAGUAAUACCGUAUACGCCCUAUUGGGGAAAGAUUUAUCGGAGAAGGAUCAGCCCGCGUUGGAUUAGGUAGUUGGUGGGGUAAUGGCCUACCAAGCCGACGAUCCAUAGCUGGUUUGAGAGGAUGAUCAGCCACACUGGGACUGAGACACGGCCCAGACUCCUACGGGAGGCAGCAGUGGGGAAUCUUAGACAAUGGGGGCAACCCCGAUCUAGCCAUGCCGCGUGAGUGAUGAAGGCCUUAGGGUUGUAAAGCUCUUUCAGCUGGGAAGAUAAUGACGGUACCAGCAGAAGAAGCCCCGGCUAACUCCGUG
Molecule: ribosomal RNA, 432 nt
Filed under: uncultured bacterium
Lineage: Bacteria
Description: partial 16S ribosomal RNA
Rfam family: Bacterial small subunit ribosomal RNA
Source: RNAcentral